RNAcentral lists this transfer RNA (87 nucleotides) under Roseiarcus sp. Its description in RNAcentral is "tRNA-Leu". It matches the Rfam family "tRNA". From Rfam's summary of the family: Transfer RNA (tRNA) molecules are approximately 80 nucleotides in length. Their secondary structure includes four short double-helical elements and three loops (D, anti-codon, and T loops). The record is from RNAcentral. RNAcentral also lists the same sequence under 2 other names. Lineage: Bacteria; Pseudomonadati; Pseudomonadota; Alphaproteobacteria; Hyphomicrobiales; Roseiarcaceae.
GCGGUCAUGGCGGAAGUGGUAGACGCGCUAGCUUGAGGUGCUAGUUCUUUAACCGGAGUGGAGGUUCGAGUCCUCUUGACCGCACCA